CCUACGGGUGGCAGCAGUAGGGAAUUUUCCACAAUGGGCGAAAGCCUGAUGGAGUAACGCCGCGUGGGUGAAGAAGGUCUUCGGAUCGUAACACCCUGUUUGUAGAGAAGAAAGUGCGUGAGAUUAACUGUUCCUGUUUCGACGGUAUGUAACCAGACAGCCUCGGCUAACUACGUGCCAGCAGCCGCGGUAAUACGUAAGUGGCAAGCGUUAUCCGGAUUUAUUGGGCGUAAAGGGAACGCAGGCGGUCUUUUAAGUCGGAUGUGAAAGCCUUCGGCUUAACCGGAGUAGUGCAUUGGAAAAUGGGAGACUUGAGUGCAGAAGAGGAGGGUGGAACUCCAUGUGUAGCGGUGAAAUGCGUAGAUAUAUGGAAGAACACCAGUGGCGAAGGCGGCUCGCUGGGCUGUAACUGACGCUGAGGUUCGAAAGCGUGGGUAGCAAACAGGAUUAGAUACCCGAGUAGUC
This 465-nucleotide ribosomal RNA is filed under the name uncultured bacterium. Its description in RNAcentral is "partial 16S ribosomal RNA". It matches the Rfam family "Bacterial small subunit ribosomal RNA", at positions 338 to 795 of the family's 1533-position model. The record is from RNAcentral.